This 140-nucleotide unclassified non-coding RNA is filed under the name soil metagenome. RNAcentral describes it as "partial internal transcribed spacer 1". The record is from RNAcentral.
CCUAGAGUUGUAGGCCUUGCCUGCUAUCUCUUACCCAUGUCUUUUGAGUACCUUACGUUUCCUCGGUGGGUUCGCCCACCGAUCGGACAAACUUAAACCCUUUGCAGUUGAAAUCAGCGUCUGAAAAAACUUAAUAGUUA